This 328-nucleotide ribosomal RNA is filed under the name uncultured Ferruginibacter sp. RNAcentral describes it as "bacterial SSU rRNA". It matches the Rfam family "Bacterial small subunit ribosomal RNA", at positions 568 to 898 of the family's 1533-position model. Lineage: Bacteria; Pseudomonadati; Bacteroidota; Chitinophagia; Chitinophagales; Chitinophagaceae. The record is from RNAcentral.
UGCGUAGGUGGGCUAGUAAGUCAGUGGUGAAAUCUCCGGGCUUAACCCGGAAACUGCCAUUGAUACUAUUAGUCUUGAAUGUCGUGGAGGUAAGCGGAAUAUGUCAUGUAGCGGUGAAAUGCUUAGAUAUGACAUAGAACACCGAUAGCGUAGGCAGCUUGCUACACGAAUAUUGACACUGAGGCACGAAAGCGUGGGGAUCAAACAGGAUUAGAUACCCUGGUAGUCCACGCCCUAAACGAUGGAUACUCGACAUCAGCGAUACACUGUUGGUGUCUGAGCGAAAGCAUUAAGUAUCCCACCUGGGAAGUACGACCGCAAGGUUGAA